AACGAACGCUGGCGGCAUGCCUAACACAUGCAAGUCGAACGAGACCUUCGGGUCUAGUGGCGCACGGGUGCGUAACGCGUGGGAACCUGCCCUUAGGUUCGGAGUAACUCCCCGAAAGGGGUGCUAAUACCGGAUAAUGUCUUCGGACCAAAGAUUUAUCGCCUUUGGAUGGGCCCGCGUUGGAUUAGCUAGUUGGUAGGGUAAAAGCCUACCAAGGCGACGAUCCAUAGCUGGUCUGAGAGGAUGAUCAGCCACACUGGGACUGAGACACGGCCCAGACUCCUACGGGAGGCAGCAGUGGUGAAUAUUGGACAAUGGGCGAAAGCCUGAUCCAGCAAUGCCGCGUGAGUGAUGAAGGCCUUAGGGUUGUAAAGCUCUUUUACCCGGGAUGAUAAUGACAGUACCGGGAGAAUAAGCUCCGGCUAACUCCGUG
Molecule: ribosomal RNA, 433 nt
Filed under: uncultured bacterium
Lineage: Bacteria
Description: partial 16S ribosomal RNA
Rfam family: Bacterial small subunit ribosomal RNA
Source: RNAcentral